CACAAUGGGCGCAAGCCUGAUGCAGCCAUGCCGCGUGUGUGAAGAAGGCCUUCGGGUUGUAAAGCACUUUCAGUAGGGAGGAAGGUAGUGUAGUUAACACCUGCACUAUUUGACGUUACCUACAGAAGAAGCACCGGCUAACUCCGUGCCAGCAGCCGCGGUAAUACGGAGGGUGCGAGCGUUAAUCGGAAUUACUGGGCGUAAAGCGCAUGCAGGCGGCCUGUUAAGUCAGAUGUGAAAGCCCGGGGCUUAACCUCGGAAUUGCAUUUGAAACUGGCAGGCUAGAGUCUUGUAGAGGGGGUAGAAUUUCAGGUGUAGCGGUGAAAUGCGUAGAGAUCUGAAGGAAUACCAGUGGCGAAGGCGGCCCCCUGGACAAAGACUGACGCUCAGAUGCGAAAGCGUGGGGAGCAAACAGGAUUAGAUACCCUGGUAG
Molecule: ribosomal RNA, 433 nt
Filed under: uncultured bacterium
Lineage: Bacteria
Description: bacterial SSU rRNA
Rfam family: Bacterial small subunit ribosomal RNA
Source: RNAcentral